AUGCUUGCACUGAUAAUAUGGAAGGCAUUGAUGUGUAUCAUCGGCAGUGUAUCUCCUGUUGUUGUUGUUCUUUCUAGAAGUAUGGAACCGAGAUUCAAGCGGGGGGACAUUUUGUUCUUACACAUGAGUAAGGAACCAAUUCGCAUAGGGGAGAUUGUUGUAUUUAAUGUAGAUUCAGAAUCAUGCAGAAUUGAGGCGAAGAUAGGAAUGAGUACGUGGGAUGGAAAGGUGAAAUGUAAUAGCAAAUGUGGAUAUCCAGAGCUCACACUGAGUAUGUCAAUGGAGUUGAAAUUCUUUGGCGACCAAUUCGCUGUGAGCAGCAGCAGCAAGAGGGAGACGAUGAGGACGACUGGUACGGGAUAGAGUCAUACAGAAUGCCACUCUGCUGUAUUCUUUUCUAUGCAGCAUCCUUCUUCUUUGCUAUCGGAGCUCUCGGCACAAGAGGUUUCAGCAUUUUGGUGAUGGACAUAAUUGGGUCUAGCCUUUGGAAUGUAUGGAAUUCUCUUGGUCAAUUGUAAGAUUUUGACCAUAUGUUUCAUAGGGUGUCACCAUGUAUGGCUGCUUAUAUUGCAGUUGAGGCAAUAUCAAUUCUUGAGUAGCUCCAUAUACAAGGGUAUGUUUUUGUUUCAAGCCAGUUACUAUUGCAUUUCCACUAAGUAGAUGGUGUUGCACCACGAGCAAAAAUGAAUCAGCAACGUUCUCGGCGCUUCCGGGUUGCAAAAGAUGCAGCCGAGGCUGAAGCGGAAGAGGAAAGGCUGAGGAAAGAAUUCAUCAGUGAGGGAACACCUUUGUCUCCCAAAGAUAAGCCCGAGACUUCAGACACAAAUGUCAUUACCCCUGGUUCUAAGUUUAUGGCAGCUCUGUCAGUGGCUCUUCAGUCUUAUGUACAGACUAGAUUGAACCUCAACCCUGCCUGGAAAAAUAUAAAGGUACUACACAAUUGAAACCACAUCCUAUUAAUUCUUUUGUCACUUGAUCCCUUCAAGAUGAGAUGAUUCCUUUCUUUUGGAGUAAUCCCAUCUAUUUUCUUCUCCCUUAUACAUCUGGCUUUCAGGAUGCUCUUUCUCUAAAUAUUUAUUUAUGGGCUGCAUUGGAUGAUUAAUUAUUUGAAGGUUAUACUUUUUGAUUCAAAUGUUCCUGGUGAGGGAGAACAUAAAAUAAUGGAAUACAUCCGGUUACAACGUAAUGUUCCUGGUUUCAAUUCGAAUACUCGCCAUUGUUUGUAUGGAUUGAUGUGUUUUGUUUUGUCCUAAUUUUAAUUUUCAUAUUACCUGUCUAGGGUGCUUUUAUCUUUUCCUUGAUUUUUGCAUGAUAUUUUAUGAUCUUCAAACCAUGAUGUUGAUUUGAUAAUGCUCUCCUUAGCUACUCAUGAGAUUCACUUCUCAGUAUUGAGGGAGGUUAGUUUUCAAUGCGUGAACUGCUCAGUUGAUACUGUUAUCUCAAUAUGGAUCUGUUACAAUGUUGUUUUGUGAUGAUAUCAAUUUGACAAUAUCUAUGGUUGCCGCCACUCAUUUCAUGAUGGAAUCAUGAGAGCUACUGAUGUGAUGAUUGCUGGAAAGAUUGUGGUUGUUUGUGGUUACGGAGAUGUUGGCAAGAGUUAUGAUGCCGCCUUGAAACAAGGUGGUGUUCGUGUGAUCUUGGCUGAGAUCGAUCCAAUCUAUGCACUUCAAGCACUCAUGGACGGUCUACAAGUUCUGAUUCUUGCAGAUGUUGUCUCCGAGACUGACAUUUUCGUUACCACCACUGGUAACAAAGACAUUAUCAUGGUUAGUGACAUGAAGAAAAUGAAGAACAAUGCCAUUGUCUGCAACUUUGCUACUGGUUUUUCUGUUGGCAAACAAUUUAUGUCGUUGUAACAACGAAUUUGGCUUCUGAAGAAUUGGAAAAACUUUUUUCUAACAUGGACAUUUCAGUGGAUUCUUCUUGGAAGUUAAAGAAUGGUGUUGCAGAACAUGUGUUCAGUGGAUUUUUAGUAUGGUUGUAUAUGAGUCUAUGUAUUAAUUUGGUUCAGUUUUAAUUUGAUUUU
Molecule: long non-coding RNA, 2026 nt
Organism: Vicia villosa (hairy vetch)
Lineage: Eukaryota; Viridiplantae; Streptophyta; Magnoliopsida; Fabales; Fabaceae
Exons: 7
Source: RefSeq, a predicted model, not a curated record